ACUCAAAUGAAUUGACGGGGACUCGCACAAGCGGUGGAUUAUGUGGCUCAAUUCGUCGGUAAACGAAGAACCUUACCAAGGUUAGAAAUCCAGCUGCAUCCGACCCGAAAGGGACGGAGCCUUCGAGGGUGCUGGACAGGUGGUGCACGGCUGUCGUCAGUUCGUGGUUUGAACUGUUCCCUUCAGUGGGGUAACGAACGCAACCCACGUUGCCUGUUGCCUAUAUGGUCAGGCGAGACUGCUCCCUCACGGGAGAGGAAGGUGUGGACGACGCCAAGUCAGCGUGCCCCUCUGAUACCUUGGGCUGCACACAUAAUACAAUGGUGAUCUACAACGGGAUGCAAGGCCGUAAGGCGGAGCAAAUCCUUUAAAACUCACCUCAGUACGGAUCGAGGUCUGCAACCGACCUCGUGAAGCCGGAAUCGCUAGUAAUGGCAGGUCAGCUAAACUGCCGUGAAUACGUUCUCGAGUCUUGUACACACCGCCCGU
This 489-nucleotide ribosomal RNA is filed under the name uncultured bacterium. RNAcentral's name for it is "partial 16S ribosomal RNA". It matches the Rfam family "Bacterial small subunit ribosomal RNA", at positions 899 to 1397 of the family's 1533-position model. The record is from RNAcentral.